RNAcentral lists this ribosomal RNA (253 nucleotides) under uncultured bacterium. RNAcentral describes it as "partial 16S ribosomal RNA". It matches the Rfam family "Bacterial small subunit ribosomal RNA", at positions 524 to 776 of the family's 1533-position model. The record is from RNAcentral.
UACGUAGGCAGCAAGCGUUGUUCGGAAUUACUGGGCGUAAAGGGUGCGUAGGCGGUUAUCUAAGUUUGGUGUGAGAUCUCCCGGCUUAACUGGGAGGGUGCGCUGAAGACUGGAUGACUUGAGUAUGGGAGAGGAAAGCGGAAUUCCUGGUGUAGCGAUGAAAUGCGUAGAGAUCAGGAGGAACACCUGCGGUGUAGACGGCUUUCUGGACCAAGACUGACGCUGAGGCACGAAAGCGUGGGUAGCAAACAGG